RNAcentral lists this ribosomal RNA (253 nucleotides) under uncultured bacterium. Its description in RNAcentral is "partial 16S ribosomal RNA". It matches the Rfam family "Bacterial small subunit ribosomal RNA", at positions 524 to 776 of the family's 1533-position model. The record is from RNAcentral.
UACGUAGGGGGCUAGCGUUGUCCGGAUUUAUUGGGCGUAAAGAGCGUGUAGGCGGCCAACUAAGUCAGACGUGAAAUCCCUCGGCUUAACCGAGGAACUGCGUCUGAUACUGGAUGGCUGGAAUCUGGGAGAGGGAUGCGGAAUUCCAGGUGUAGCGGUGAAAUGCGUAGAUAUCUGGAGGAACACCGGUGGCGAAGGCGGCAUCCUGGACCGGCAUUGACGCUGAGGAGCGAAAGCCAGGGGAGCAAACGGG